UACGUAGGGACCAAGCGUUGUUCGGAUUUACUGGGCGUAAAGGGCUCGUAGGCGGCCAACUAAGUCAGACGUGAAAUCCCUCGGCUUAACCGGGGAACUGCGUCUGAUACUGGAUGGCUGGAGUUUGGGAGAGGGAUGUGGAAUUCCAGGUGUAGCGGUGAAAUGCGUAGAUAUCUGGAGGAACACCGGUGGCGAAGGCGACAUCCUGGACCGGUAUUGACGCUGAGGCGCGAAAGCCAGGGGAGCAAACGGG
This 253-nucleotide ribosomal RNA is filed under the name uncultured bacterium. RNAcentral describes it as "partial 16S ribosomal RNA". It matches the Rfam family "Bacterial small subunit ribosomal RNA", at positions 524 to 776 of the family's 1533-position model. The record is from RNAcentral.